GUCACAAAGAAUUGGAAAAGAAUGCAAGUCCACCAGCCUAUAACCUGGCAUCCUAUUCCAUGGACCAUGUUUUUCUCCCAGUCUGAAAGAAACUCAGUUCCCAGUGAUCAGUGCCUGUGAACCUCAGAUCUUGUGCUGACAGAGAUGAGAGUCUGAAUGUUGCUCCACUUGCAGUCCUCGUGGCAUGGCCCUUGAUUCAUAAGCUGGGCUGAGGGUGCCGACCAAAUGCAACCAGUGACGUUGCAGCCUCUAACAUCCCAAGCAAAGCAUUUACCACUUUCUCCACCUUUCAGUAUGCAGCUUUCAUCUUUGUGGGAUGUCUUCCUCCCUGAAUCCUUAACUGUGAAGGACUAGCAGAUGGAAAGGCAAGAACUUGAGAACAACCUGAGUGAGACCAUAGGCAGACACAACCAGAAAUAUCCCGAGUUCCCUGGAGGAGAGGUGGCCGUACUUGUUUAUCACUUGCAACCCAGAAAGAGCGAAGCCUGCUUUCUGCAUGGUUUGGAGCAAGGAUAGAACUGGUCCCUGAGUGAAUAGCAAAUGGAGUUGAAACAUCCUGCUGCAAUGCAGGGUUUAUGGUCCUGCAGCCUGAAUAACUAUCAUCACAACAUGAAACAGGACUGAGAACGAGAGACCUGGCAGAGGAGGAAGAGGGCAGGUGUUGUCCUUGUUUGGGGGUAAAAAUGGGAUCAUAAUCCUCCCUCCUCAACCCCCUCACUGCUUUUCUCCUCAAUAGGUUUUAAAUGUGGAACAUGUAUUUGAUGCAGUUGCUAGCGCUGAGAAAUUAGCAAAAGUGGUUGAACGAGCAUGCUGUCCUGUUAGGUAUUAAUUUAAUUCACUUAGAAGAUUUUAAAGCAAAAUUCCUUAGGUUUUCAUCUUGAAUAAAGGUGACUCAGAUGAGAUCUUUACCCUUGGGCUGCAGAUUGCAAUUCAGGCUGCCAGCAUGCAGGGAACAUAAGAACUGAUUAUUCCUUCUACCUGGACAAUUAAGACUAAUGGGCAAGGGAAGAGCUGAAGCACCAUCCCAGAGCAAGGCUAGGAGCUGUAAUAGUUCCUUCCCCUUGAGUUAUUAACCCACAGGGUAGAUGCGCAGCUAACCCCUUGGUCAAGAUGGUAAUCUCAGACAGGAGAUGUCUUAUUAGCUACCUAUUUCUUCUGCUAUGACAGUAGAAGUCCUUAGUAAAUGGCACAGGUAUAAAAUAUGAAUAUAUGACAGGAAAAGUUAGGAUUUAAGUGUGCAGAACAAAAAGGAAGUGUUCUAGCUCACCUUGGAAAUUGGCACACACAUAAAAUAGUGACCAAGGGGAUGAACAAAUGAGUUGCUUCCACGGUUCUUGCAACUGAUUUUCCUAACGCAUUUGAAAACAAUUCUCUUUGACCUGUGAUGCACAAAUCUCACAGGACUGCCACAGAACUCAGUGCUGCCUCCAGAUCUUCUUGGUCUACUUUUGCUUCCUUUGCUGCUCUAUUCAGUAAUUUUUAAGAUAUCUGAGCAGGAAUCCUUGGCUCGGAGAUAUUUGGCAUGCUUUCUGAACCCCUUGAAACUAAAGUAAAAUACCUGACAACCUAGACUUGACUUGAACCUGCUAUUAGCCAGAAAAAACUUGGCUUAUGGUAAUAUAAAGGUGAAAAUGUGAACUGAGAGUAAUGGGUGAAAUCUUGCUCUCAGUUUCAUCUGCGUGACAUCCCUUCAUUCAUUGAAAAAGCCUAAAUGUACCUCGGGGUCAAACUUGUCUACUGUGAGGAAAGAAGAAGAGCAGGAAUGCUAAAGGCUCUUGGGAAUUAAUGAAGUUCUGGAAGGGAGAGUGAUGGAUGGGUGUUCAUUCUCUAGCUUGCUUGGGCUGAUGGCAGGCUACGAUCAGUUUUUAAGCUAGUCUACACCUCCUCCUUCAACAGACAUGAUAUGAUAAGCAUGUUAGCCAUACUCUGAUGCCUUACACACCAAACCCUUGAAGGAAUUUAGACAAGAGAACAUUUUUGUUUUCAGUUCUGGAUUUGACUUGAGCUUGAUCUCUGCAUAGACCUUAUCUGAUUUUUCUUGGAUGAUUCCUUCCAACUUUCUAGGAGACAUCCAUGAAUAGCCAGGUAGCUGACAUUAACCUUCCCUGAUCUGGAUGCCCUUUUGGGCUUUUGCAACAUGCCACAAAAAUGUGGCACAGAUCGCUA
This 2166-nucleotide long non-coding RNA is filed under the name Falco tinnunculus (common kestrel). RNAcentral describes it as "lncRNA (ENSFTIG00000007142.1)". The record is from RNAcentral. Lineage: Eukaryota; Metazoa; Chordata; Aves; Falconiformes; Falconidae.